This 212-nucleotide unclassified non-coding RNA is filed under the name Glomus sp. RNAcentral describes it as "partial contains 5.8S ribosomal RNA and internal transcribed spacer 2". The stretch from base 1 to 65 matches the Rfam family "5.8S ribosomal RNA", at positions 84 to 154 of the family's 154-position model. The record is from RNAcentral. Lineage: Eukaryota; Fungi; Glomeromycota; Glomeromycetes; Glomerales; Glomeraceae.
GUGAAUCAUCAAAUUUUUGAACGCAAAUUGCACUCUCUUCGGAGAGUAUGCCUGUUUGAGGGUCAGCCUAAAAAAAAUCAACAUAUUCCCGUUUUCCCGGUGACUUUCUUCGGAAAUUGGUUCAUCUUAAACCUUUGGUUUUUAACCGGCUUAAAAUUUUCUUUACGAUUCCACAAAGUUUUCUAGAUUUAACUUCUUAUACUUUUAAGUUA